RNAcentral lists this ribosomal RNA (274 nucleotides) under uncultured bacterium. RNAcentral's name for it is "partial 16S ribosomal RNA". It matches the Rfam family "Bacterial small subunit ribosomal RNA", at positions 523 to 796 of the family's 1533-position model. The record is from RNAcentral.
AUACGGAGGGGGCUAGCGUUGUUCGGAAUUACUGGGCGUAAAGCGCGCGUAGGCGGAUUGAUCAGUCAGGGGUGAAAUCCCGGAGCUUAACUCCGGAACUGCCUUUGAUACUGUCAAUCUUGAGUUCGAGAGAGGUGAGUGGAAUUCCUAGUGUAGAGGUGAAAUUCGUAGAUAUUAGGAAGAACACCAGUGGCGAAGGCGGCUCACUGGCUCGAUACUGACGCUGAGGUGCGAAAGCGUGGGGAGCAAACAGGAUUAGAAACCCCUGUAGUCC